Molecule: ribosomal RNA, 186 nt
Filed under: uncultured Pseudoalteromonas sp.
Lineage: Bacteria; Pseudomonadati; Pseudomonadota; Gammaproteobacteria; Alteromonadales; Pseudoalteromonadaceae
Description: partial 16S ribosomal RNA
Rfam family: Bacterial small subunit ribosomal RNA
Source: RNAcentral
GGAGUGAAUAUUGCACAAUGGGCGCAAGCCUGAUGCAGCCAUGCCGCGUGUGUGAAGAAGGCCUUCGGGUUGUAAAGCACUUUCAGUCAGGAGGAAAGGGUGGGAGUUAAUACCUGCUAUCUGUGACGUUACUGACAGAAGAAGCACCGGCUAACUCCGUGCCAGCAGCCGCGGUAAAAAAAAAAA